GUCUAUGGCCAUAUCACUCUGAAUGCGCCCGAUCUCGUCUGAUCUCGGAAGAUAAGGAGGGUCGGGCCUGGUGGAGUGGCUCAAGGUGUAGGCC
RNAcentral lists this ribosomal RNA (94 nucleotides) under Castor canadensis (American beaver). The record is from RNAcentral. Lineage: Eukaryota; Metazoa; Chordata; Mammalia; Rodentia; Castoridae.